RNAcentral lists this ribosomal RNA (204 nucleotides) under Staphylococcus schleiferi. RNAcentral's name for it is "partial 16S ribosomal RNA". It matches the Rfam family "Bacterial small subunit ribosomal RNA", at positions 327 to 523 of the family's 1533-position model. The record is from RNAcentral. Lineage: Bacteria; Bacillati; Bacillota; Bacilli; Caryophanales; Staphylococcaceae.
CGGUCCAGACUCCUACGGGAGGCAGCAGUAGGGAAUCUUCCGCAAUGGGCGAAAGCCUGACGGAGCAACGCCGCGUGAGUGAUGAAGGUCUUCGGAUCGUAAAGCUCUGUUGUUAGGGAAGAACAAAUGUGUAAGUAACUGUGCACGUCUUGACGGUACCUAACCAGAAAGCCACGGCUAACUACGUGCCAGCAGCCGCGGUAA